AAACCCUGAAACACCCACACAGUGUUCACAAUGUGCUAAAUAUAUAAUUAGAAUAAUAUCUAUCUAAUACAUCCUAAUCGCUGGCCUGUAAAAAAGACAUUGUACUGAAGUGAUUUGGCCAAACCAUUUCUCUUGUCCCAACCGCCACAACAGGGAAUCACCACCCUGAUUAAGGUAGGAACCGUAUAUAAGUUCCCACUGGUUCCGGUGGCGCUUCUUAGCCGUUGCACCGACAAUCAAACACGAGCACCCAAACAGCUGGCAAUCCACUCCACAAGUCUCUCGGUCUACUCAAUAAAUGCGUCGACUCCGAGCACUGGCGUGUGAAGACCCAGCGGAGUGGGCACUGGCGUGUGAAGACCCAGCAGAGAGGGGAGAGCCUUGAACAGGGGCUGGAGAAGAGUGCCUGCUGGGACGACCUCUGAGAGCCUCGGACAGGGGCAGGAGAAGAGUGCCUGCUGGGACGACCUCUGAGAGCCUUGAACAGGGGCAGGAGAAGAGUGCCUGCUGGGACGACCUCUGAGAGCCUCGACCGGAUGGCAAGGAGUCCUGCUGGACCUGACGGAGAAACAGCUGUAUCCUGAGAACCCCUGGAUUAGCCAUUGGAUUUUCAUUAAAACAUCAUUCAAUUCAGUUACUUGAGGAGGAUCUGAUCAGGUGUAUGCCAAAACAUUAACCUUCUGAUAGCCCCAACUUCCUCUGGGACAUGCAGGAUCUGAUCUAUGACAAGGCAACAUCAAUUGUAAAUUAUGUAGAAUUUCAGCUUUUCUGAGUGUGGUUUCCGUAAUACCACUCUAAGGGCCUCAUUUACUAACUUUUGCCAGCGCAGCGUAAUCAGCGCCUUUGCCAAACCGCAUACAGCGCAUGAUGUGUUUCCGCAUUUUGCGUAGUAUUUAUCAAACAAGAACCUCGUCGCGUAAUCAGCGCCUUACUCUGCCCUUUAGUGUUAUUAGUGGGCCUGAAAGAAAGAAAGGGCCUGCGUGUUCCUGCCACCAUGGAUGAUGAGUUAAAAUUAGAAUUAGAAUUAGAAUAAGAAUUAGAGCUUUUGGUUCACGAGGUCCACACUACGUUGUCAGGGGUAACGGAGGUUUUCAGAUACGCUGACCUUGCCAUGGCACUGGGGGUAGCUUGCGCUCGAGAGGCUAUAACGUCAAAAUAAACAUGGAAGGUGAAAUGAAUAUGCUGCUCUGUCUCUACAAUUUAGUUUAGUUAGUGUACUUCAGGUACAAGUACUUUUCCUGAAUAGAUACGCAAUACUCCUACGCAGAAGGCGAGCACUUUACUCGGUGUGCUUGAAUGAUGGGUGGAAAAGGCAAAGAAUACGGUUUAAACCCUACAUGGAGCGGACGGAUUCUGGGUAAGACCUGGCUGAACAGCUGGCGAGACAAUUUUUUUAUAUGCCUAUAUUAAAUGAUACAUUGAAUAUAAACAUUUAAACAAAUAACAUUUCUGAUGUUCGUAUUUUUUUAUUUUUUUUUAUGAAUUGCCUUAAUUUUCUCGCACGCACAUAGUAUUCAUUCAGCAGCUGAUAUGCCAUGCUAAAACACCUCUUGUUUCGUUACAAAUGGAACAGACCUGGUUAAGAUCUGCUUUUAUGAGGCGGAGAUUUCUCACGCAAAUUAGAGACGCGCUCUCGUCAGGCAGUUUUAGUAAAUACAACGGAAUACAUAGAUAGGCGCACUUUACGCAUCUCCUCCCAUCUCUUUGCGGCUAACACCCACUUUCCCUUAUACCCUCCCAGC
Clupea harengus (Atlantic herring) is the source of this 1742-nucleotide long non-coding RNA. The record is from Ensembl. NCBI's taxonomy places the organism in Eukaryota, Metazoa, Chordata, Actinopteri, Clupeiformes, Clupeidae.